This 481-nucleotide ribosomal RNA is filed under the name uncultured bacterium. RNAcentral's name for it is "bacterial SSU rRNA". It matches the Rfam family "Bacterial small subunit ribosomal RNA", at positions 28 to 526 of the family's 1533-position model. The record is from RNAcentral.
GAUGAACGCUGACAGAAUGCUUAACACAUGCAAGUCGAGCGAGGGGAGUUCUUCGGAAUAAACCUAGCGGCGGACGGGCGAGUAACACGUGGGCAACCUGCCUUGUAGAGGGGGAUAGCCUUCCGAAAGGAAGAUUAAUACCGCAUAACAUCAUAGUAUCGCAUGGUACAGUGAUCAAAGGAGCAAUCCGCUACAAGAUGGGCCCGCGGCGCAUUAGCUAGUUGGUGAGGUAACGGCUCACCAAGGCGACGAUGCGUAGCCGACCUGAGAGGGUGAUCGGCCACAUUGGGACUGAGACACGGCCCAGACUCCUACGGGAGGCAGCAGUGGGGAAUAUUGCACAAUGGGGGAAACCCUGAUGCAGCAACGCCGCGUGAGUGAUGAAGGUUUUCGGAUCGUAAAACUCUGUCUUUGGGGACGAUAAUGACGGUACCCAAGGAGGAAGCGACGGCUAACUACGUGCCAGCCGCCGCCGUAAAAC